AUUGAACGCUGGCGGCAUGCCUUACACAUGCAAGUCGAGCGGCAGCGCGGGGGCAACCCUGGCGGCGAGCGGCGAACGGGUGAGUAAUGCAUCGGAACGUGUCCUCUUGUGGGGGAUAACCAGUCGAAAGACUGGCUAAUACCGCAUGAGAUCGCAAGAUGAAAGCAGGGGACCCGCAAGGGCCUUGCGCGAGAGGAGCGGCCGAUGCCCGAUAGCUAGUUGGUGGGGUAAAAGCCUACCAAGGCGACGAUCGGUAGCUGGUCUGAGAGGACGACCAGCCACACUGGGACUGAGACACGGCCCAGACUCCUACGGGGGCAGCAGUGGGGAAUUGUUCGCAAUGGGCGCAAGCCUGACGACGCAACGCCGCGUGGAGACGAA
This 381-nucleotide ribosomal RNA is filed under the name uncultured bacterium. RNAcentral describes it as "bacterial SSU rRNA". It matches the Rfam family "Bacterial small subunit ribosomal RNA", at positions 29 to 412 of the family's 1533-position model. The record is from RNAcentral.